UUAGAGUAAGACUAGAUGUCAUGUGUAUGAGUGCGUAUAACAACUAGAAUCGCAACCAGAUCUCAAAAGCCUAAGUAUUGUAUCCUUCUUAGAGGAUACAAAGACAAAGACUCAUACGAACUUUGACUACACAAUCAAAGCUUUGAUAAGCAAGAAGAAGCUUUGUUAGUGUUUUGGAGUCAAAUAUUACUAGAUGUCAUGUGUAAGAGUGAGUAUGACAACUAGUACAACAACUGAA
This 238-nucleotide small RNA is filed under the name Arabidopsis thaliana (thale cress). RNAcentral describes it as "ATSL271360". The record is from RNAcentral. Lineage: Eukaryota; Viridiplantae; Streptophyta; Magnoliopsida; Brassicales; Brassicaceae.